GGACUUUCAACGGAAUCCUACAAAAGAUCUGGCUAAGAGCUUGGCCAAAGACUAACAAAUACAUCCUGGAUAAAAUUAAAUUUUUGUCCUUGUGAUGCCUCAUCAGAGGGGUUAAAAACAUCAGUUCGGGUCUAUGAUCUAUGCACAAUUGAGAACAUCUACUGAAAGCAAUAAAUGCCUAAUGCCCCAGGCUAGAAUUGGUGAGUAUUUUCUCUUCAUGUGAUGCAAUAGAUACAAUUAACAAAACAAG
This 250-nucleotide long non-coding RNA is filed under the name Homo sapiens (human). RNAcentral describes it as "HSALNT0190986". The record is from RNAcentral. Lineage: Eukaryota; Metazoa; Chordata; Mammalia; Primates; Hominidae.